This 546-nucleotide long non-coding RNA is filed under the name Ursus maritimus (polar bear). RNAcentral describes it as "lncRNA (ENSUMAG00000013004.1)". The record is from RNAcentral. Lineage: Eukaryota; Metazoa; Chordata; Mammalia; Carnivora; Ursidae.
CGCAGUCAGCCGCCUGGGCGCCGAAAGCUGCUUCCUACUCCCAGUGCCGAGCGGGCCCCAGCUACUGAGCAUGCCCAGCGCAACGACGGGAGCCAGAGGAUAGCAGAGGACUUGAAGCUGCGGUUAGGCACUGAUUUCCCUUCCUAGGGGCCUAGCGUGAAAUGGAAAGGAACUAGUCAAGAGAAAGGAGGGCCCUCUAAAAAUAGUGUUCACACUGAGAACAUUGCAGGGACAGAGCACGAUUUGAAUGAACCACCACGAUAGAAUAAAAGCACAUAUGUUAGAGAAGCCUGAAAGGUGGUAAACUACCCAAAAACAGCACAGAAGAGGAAAUACAUGCUCCCAGACAGGGUGGACAAGGAGCCCUAAGGGUCAUUGGUCUCUCUUGGAAGCUAACACAUGAAAGAAACCACUACUGUCCUGCAAGGAUUUUUCCACUGAUUAUGAACCAGACACCUCACCAAGUACAGCUCUAGGGCUGAUCUCACUGCACCUAUAUUCCUUUGUUUUUACCUUCCUGGGACGCACAGAUAGCUUGGUGUUUGG